RNAcentral lists this antisense RNA (138 nucleotides) under Coxiella burnetii RSA 493. Its description in RNAcentral is "Coxiella burnetii sRNA 3". It matches the Rfam family "Coxiella burnetii sRNA 3", at positions 1 to 135 of the family's 198-position model. Rfam says of the family: CbSRs 2, 3, 4 and 9 are located antisense to identified ORFs. The record is from Rfam by way of RNAcentral. Lineage: Bacteria; Pseudomonadati; Pseudomonadota; Gammaproteobacteria; Legionellales; Coxiellaceae.
ACCGUGAAAGCCCUCGAUUCUUUGUCUGUCGUAGACGGCCUACGCACGGGAACGACGGACAUUUUUUUUCAACUCCUUGAUAGUCCCUCUUUACCUCGCUCUCUUAAGUUGACGCCUAUGCGCGAAGGCGGGGAUGAU